CCUACGGGAGGCUGCAGUGAGGAAUAUUGGUCAAUGGGCGGAAGCCUGAACCAGCCAAGUAGCGUGCAGGAUGACGGCCCUACGGGUUGUAAACUGCUUUUAUACGGGAAUAACGCGCCUUACGUGUAGGGCUUUGCAUGUACCGUAUGAAUAAGGACCGGCUAAUUCCGUGCCAGCAGCCGCGGUAAUACGGAAGGUCCGGGCGUUAUCCGGAUUUAUUGGGUGUAAAGGGAGCGUAGGCCGCAUGUCAAGCGUGCUGUGAAAUGUCCGGGCUCAACCCGGGCCUUGCAGCGCGAACUGGUGUGCUUGAGUCCGCGGAAAGCAGGCGGAAUUCGUCGUGUAGCGGUGAAAUGCUUAGAUAUGACGAAGAACCCCGAUUGCGAAGGCAGCUAGCUGCAGCGGAACUGACGCUGAUGCUCGAAAGCGCGGGUAUCGAACAGGAUUAGAUACCCGGGUAGUC
This 460-nucleotide ribosomal RNA is filed under the name uncultured bacterium. Its description in RNAcentral is "partial 16S ribosomal RNA". It matches the Rfam family "Bacterial small subunit ribosomal RNA", at positions 338 to 795 of the family's 1533-position model. The record is from RNAcentral.